Long non-coding RNA from Epinephelus lanceolatus (giant grouper), 1543 nucleotides. RefSeq lists it as uncharacterized. Lineage: Eukaryota; Metazoa; Chordata; Actinopteri; Perciformes; Serranidae. The record is from RefSeq and is a predicted model, not a curated record.
ACUACAAACUAUCAAUCUGUAUUAGAAAUCCAGUAUUCAUCCAGCUAUACUCAACAGUCACAGGUGUCUGGAUAUAACCUUGGGUAUUUGUAGGGAUAUAGCAAAGGACUUCAAUCAAAGUCAGAGCAGUGAUGGGCAGCAUGUACUUAAAUUCAGAAAUCACAUAAUUCAAGCUUUCAAAUACUGAUUGUUCCUCAGAUCCAUGUUUUUUGUGCCAGGCAUCGCAACAAUAGAAGUUCGUUAAAAAACUGCUUUCAACUGAUCCAUUGUAUCCUUUGACUUGUCAAACUGAAAUAAAAACGUACCUUGUAUCCUUUAACCUCCUUUUUCUUCUUCUUUCUUCUUUCUUUUACCAAAGUCUAUGAGUUUCACAUCAAGCCAGUGAUCUGUUUGUGGGCCUCAAUGCCCCAGCAGCCCAGUUACCUGCCCCAGCAGCCACAGAUGCCCCAGGUGUUCCACCCCAGCAGCAGCCUCAGCCGCAGUUGCCCCAGGUGCCUAGCUAUUUGCCCAAGCAGCUUCAGCGGAUGCCCCAGGUGCCUAGCUACCUGCCCAAGCAGCCUCAGCAGUAGCCGCAGAUGCCUCAGGUGCCUAGCUCCCCACCCAAGCAGCAGCAGCCCCAGGUGCCUCAGCAGCUGCAGAUGCCCCAGGUGCCAAGCCACCCGCCCAAGCAGCAGCAGCUGCAGAUGUCUAGCUACCUGCCCAAGCAGCAGCAGCAGCAGCCCCAGGUGCCUCAGCAGUCUCAGAUGCCCCAGGUGCCUAACUACCCGCCAAAGAAGCAGAAGCCCCAGGUGCCUCAGCAGUCAUAGAUGCUUCAGGUGCCUAGCUACCCGCCAAAGCAGCAGAAGCCCCAGGUGCCUCAGCAGUCAUAGAUGCUUCAGGUGCCUAGCUACCUGCCCAAGAGGCCUCAGCAACAGCUGCCCAAGCAGCCUCAGCCACAGGUGCCUAGCUACCCGCCCAACUAGCCCCGGCCAAAUGGCUUCAAACAGAUAUGACACAACUGGAGUUUAUGGUAACAACCUUGGGUAUUGGUCUGGGCAUGGCUAUGGACUUCAAUCAAAUCCAGAGCAGCCACCACAAUAACAGAGGUUCUUCAAAGACUGCUUUCAACUGAGCCAUUGUAUUGACUUGUCAAAAUAAACCUUGUAUCUUUAGUCUUUUUUUUUUCCUCUUGUGGUCGGUAAAUUUAAAUUCAAUUUGGCUUGUGGGCAACAGUUAAUGUUGCAAUUUGCUUCUAUCAUAUCUAUCUGGUUGACCAAGGUUUCUGGCAUCAUGACUUGUGUGCCAGAUGGAAGUUCUGCAGCUUUUCUAACAGCCCAUUUCAUGCCAACUUUGAAGCACAUGUUUGAAUCUUGCAAAUCACAUGGCUUAUAGGCCAACAUGUGGUAUUUAUCAGGACAAAGCUAUUAGGUAAACUUUACAGCACCAUUGACUGAACUCAAGGGAUAUUGUUGUACCUUGCUGUCAGGUAUAAUGUGUUGCCACACAUUUCAUUUACCAUUUCACAUUUGUUUCUCAAAACAAACAUGCAGAACAUACCAUAAGC